GGUUGCGAUCAUACCAGCACUAAUGCACUGGAUCCCAUCAGAACUCCGCAGUUAAGCGUGCUUGGGCGAGAGUAGUACUAGGAUGGGUGACCCCCUGGGAAGUCCCCGUGUUGCAACCC
Molecule: ribosomal RNA, 119 nt
Filed under: Helianthus annuus (common sunflower)
Lineage: Eukaryota; Viridiplantae; Streptophyta; Magnoliopsida; Asterales; Asteraceae
Source: RNAcentral